GAUGAAGAACGUAGCGAAAUGCGAUAAGUAAUGUGAAUUGCAGAGUUCAGUGAAUCAUCGAAUCUUUGAACGCACAUUGCGCCCGUCAGUAUUCUGACGGGCAUGCCUGUCCGAGCGUCAUUUCAACCCUCAAGCACUGCUUGGCGUUGGCGGAUUGCGUGCCCUCGCGGCGCAGCAACCGCCCAAAUACAGUGGCGGUCCCGCUGCGGCUCCCUUUGCGUAGUAACUCACCUCGCACUGGACCGGGCGGCGGCCUGCCGUAAAACCCCAACUCACGAAAUGUUGACCUCGGAUCAGGUAGGAAUACCCGCUGAACUUAAGCAUACAAUAAGCGGAGGA
RNAcentral lists this unclassified non-coding RNA (339 nucleotides) under soil metagenome. Its description in RNAcentral is "partial contains 5.8S ribosomal RNA, internal transcribed spacer 2, and large subunit ribosomal RNA". The stretch from base 1 to 120 matches the Rfam family "5.8S ribosomal RNA", at positions 35 to 154 of the family's 154-position model. The record is from RNAcentral.